GUGGGGAAUUUUGGACAAUGGGCGAAAGCCUGAUCCAGCCAUGCCGCGUGCAGGAUGAAGGCCUUCGGGUUGUAAACUGCUUUUGUACGGAACGAAAAGACUCCUUCUAAUAAAGGGGGUCCAUGACGGUACCGUAAGAAUAAGCACCGGCUAACUACGUGCCAGCAGCCGCGGUAAUACGUAGGGUGCAAGCGUUAAUCGGAAUUACUGGGCGUAAAGCGUGCGCAGGCGGUUAUAUAAGACAGAUGUGAAAUACCCGGGCUCAACCUGGGAACUGCAUUUGUGACUGUAUAGCUAGAGUACGGUAGAGGGGGAUGGAAUUCCGCGUGUAGCAGUGAAAUGCGUAGAUAUGCGGAGGAACACCGAUGGCGAAGGCAAUCCCCUGGACCUGUACUGACGCUCAUGCACGAAAGCGUGGGGAGCAAACAGGAUUAGAUACCCGGGUAGUCC
This 450-nucleotide ribosomal RNA is filed under the name uncultured bacterium. RNAcentral describes it as "partial 16S ribosomal RNA". It matches the Rfam family "Bacterial small subunit ribosomal RNA", at positions 354 to 796 of the family's 1533-position model. The record is from RNAcentral.